This 279-nucleotide ribosomal RNA is filed under the name uncultured bacterium. RNAcentral's name for it is "partial 16S ribosomal RNA". It matches the Rfam family "Bacterial small subunit ribosomal RNA", at positions 506 to 784 of the family's 1533-position model. The record is from RNAcentral.
UGCCAGCAGCCGCGGUAACACGUAAGGGGCAAGCGUUGUUCGGAAUGACUGGGCGUAAAGCGCACGUAGGCGGGUUCGUAAGUCGAAUGUGAAAGCCCUGGGCUCAACCUGGGAACUGCAUUUGAAACUGCGAGUCUUGAAUGUCUGAGAGGUUAGUGGAAUUCCAGGUGUAGGAGUGAAAUCCGUAGAUAUCUGGAGGAACACCAGAGGCGAAGGCGGCUAACUGGCAGUACAUUGACGCUGAGGUGCGAAAGCGUGGGUAGCAAACAGGAUUAGAUA